Molecule: ribosomal RNA, 497 nt
Filed under: uncultured bacterium
Lineage: Bacteria
Description: partial 16S ribosomal RNA
Rfam family: Bacterial small subunit ribosomal RNA
Source: RNAcentral
GAUGAACGCUGGCGGCGUGCCUAAUACAUGCAAGUCGAGCGAACGGACGAGAAGCUUGCUUCUCUGAUGUUAGCGGCGGACGGGUGAGUAACACGUGGAUAACCUACCUAUAAGACUGGGAUAACUUCGGGAAACCGGAGCUAAUACCGUAUAAUAUUUUGAACCGCAUGGUUCAAAAGUGAAAGACGGUCUUGCUGUCACUUAUAGAUGGAUCCGCGCUGCAUUAGCUAGUUGGUAAGGUAACGGCUUACCAAGGCAACGAUGCAUAGCCGACCGGAGAGGGUGAUCGACCACACUGGAACUGAGACACGGUCCAGACUCCUACGGGAGGCAGCAGUAGGGAAUCUUCCGCAAUAGGCGAAAGCCUGACGGAGCAACGCCGAGUGAGUGAUGAAGGUCUUCGGAUCGUAAAACUCUGUUAUUAGGGAAGAACAUAUGUGUAAGUAACUGUGCACAUCUUGACGGUACCUAAUAAGAAAGCCACGGCUAACUACGUG